AAUAUUUCUUAUGCUUACUGCAAAUCAUGUCAGUAAUCCAGACUUGGUGUUUAAAAGAUUUUUAUGAAUAAAGAUUGUUAUCCCUUGGUGACUACUAUUUCUUAGUAAAAUCUAUCUACCAAGGUAUGUCUACUACUGUAUCUUCACAGAUCGCUUUAGUUUAGUACUACAACAUUCACUGUACCCAAAUACCUUCUGUGAUUUGGCCCAAGAAAGUCUGUUCUCCUUUGCGUCCAAAAUAUGUAAGUUUGCUAAUUUCAUAAACUCCUUUUAUCCUUGAUGCAGAUUUGUUCUUAACACUUGGUGGGAAUAAAAAGGAACAAAGAGAUAGUGAUGGAUGGGUAGGAGAGGCGAGGGCCGCCUCACCGUAGAUGGAGCCCACGGGGCGCGCAAGGAGUGACGCGCCUUCUCUGGCUCCUUGCUCCGCUCCAAUGGCGUCGAUGUCCACGUGCCACGUCAUGGAACGGAUGCGGCACAAUUGGCUAGGUACCAUUUUCUUUCCAAGCGUAGUAUCUCUUUUGUUAUUGUCAAAUCAUUUUAGUUCACUUGGUUCUUUUUGUUUAGAAUAUCUUGGAACAAAGUGCAACACUUAUGUUUAUCUGCUAAAUUGAACUUAAAACAGGCGAAACAUAUCAGAAAACCGAUAUAGAUUUCUUGGAAUCGGAAGCAAGCGCUUUCAGGGAUGAUGGUUCAACAGCUUCAACUGCAAUUUUGGUGGGUGACCGUCUGUAUGUUGCAAAUGUUGGUGAUUCUCGUGCUGUUAUUCCAAAAGCUGGCAAAGCUAUGGCACUUUCAGAAGAUCACAAACCUAAUAGGAUUGAUGAGCGGAAGAGAAUUGAAAAUGCUUGUGUAUUGUCAUUUGGGCUGAUUCCUCUAGGUCGGAUGGAAGGGCGUAUCACACAUAAUCUGGCCACAUGAUAGAAUGCGUGGAGUCGACAGGAUGGUGCUAGAAGGAAGGAUCCUUUCUCAGCUCAUCAAACAGCAUUAACGACAAGUAUCGCUCCCCAAGGAUUGAAGAACAGUCUGCAGCAAUGGACCACCGAUCAGUACUCUGAAACUGCCUUCAUGUGAAAGGAAUGUUCAAUGCAGUAGUAGUAUUAGAGUAUAGCUCACUAGGGAAUAAUGCAUCUUAUGAACAAGUAGUGUUGGAGGAACAAGUAUCUGGCCACCUGACAAAGUGAGCUAUUGUCACACGAUGAUACAUUUGAUCCAUCUUUGGCCACAUACCAUUGCUGUCUUUUUUUCUGACGAGACAAUUUAAUGUUGUACGCUAUUGAUGUUCAUCAUUUGAUUGUUGCUCUGAAUUCGACAUUUUGAUGUUUCGACAUUUUGAUGUUUCGGGGUCUGGUAGUUUAAUAGAAUUUUUAAUGAAUUUGGAGGC
This is an RNA transcript of Zea mays, 1381 nucleotides long. RefSeq lists it as uncharacterized. The transcript is spliced from 4 exons. Lineage: Eukaryota; Viridiplantae; Streptophyta; Magnoliopsida; Poales; Poaceae. The record is from RefSeq and is a predicted model, not a curated record.